CCUGGUGGCUCAGAUGGUAAAGAAUCUGCCUGCAAUGCAGGAGACCCAGGUUCGAUCCCUGGGUCAGGA
Bos taurus (domestic cattle) is the source of this 69-nucleotide non-coding RNA. Lineage: Eukaryota; Metazoa; Chordata; Mammalia; Artiodactyla; Bovidae. The record is from Rfam.